AAAUUGAAGAGUUUGAUCAUGGCUCAGAUUGAACGCUGGCGGCAGGCCUAACACAUGCAAGUCGAGCGGUAACACAGGGAGCUUGCUCCCGGGUGACGAGCGGCGGACGGGUGAGUAAUGUCUGGGAAACUGCCUGAUGGAGGGGGAUAACUACUGGAAACGGUAGCUAAUACCGCAUAACGUCGCAAGACCAAAGAGGGGGACCUUCGGGCCUCUUGCCAUCAGAUGUGCCCAGAUGGGAUUAGCUAGUAGGUGGGGUAACGGCUCACCUAGGCGACGAUCCCUAGCUGGUCUGAGAGGAUGACCAGCCACACUGGAACUGAGACACGGUCCAGACUCCUACGGGAGGCAGCAGUGGGGAAUAUUGCACAAUGGGCGCAAGCCUGAUGCAGCCAUGCCGCGUGUAUGAAGAAGGCCUUCGGGUUGUAAAGUACUUUCAGCGGGGAGGAAGGUGUUGUGGUUAAUAACCGCAGCAAUUGACGUUACCCGCAGAAGAAGCACCGGCUAACUCCGUGCCAGCAGCCGCGGUAAUACGGAGGGUGCAAGCGUUAAUCGGAAUUACUGGGCGUAAAGCGCACGCAGGCGGUCUGUCAAGUCGGAUGUGAAAUCCCCGGGCUCAACCUGGGAACUGCAUUCGAAACUGGCAGGCUAGAGUCUUGUAGAGGGGGGUAGAAUUCCAGGUGUAGCGGUGAAAUGCGUAGAGAUCUGGAGGAAUACCGGUGGCGAAGGCGGCCCCCUGGACAAAGACUGACGCUCAGGUGCGAAAGCGUGGGGAGCAAACAGGAUUAGAUACCCUGGUAGUCCACGCCGUAAACGAUGUCGACUUGGAGGUUGUGCCCUUGAGGCGUGGCUUCCGGAGCUAACGCGUUAAGUCGACCGCCUGGGGAGUACGGCCGCAAGGUUAAAACUCAAAUGAAUUGACGGGGGCCCGCACAAGCGGUGGAGCAUGUGGUUUAAUUCGAUGCAACGCGAAGAACCUUACCUACUCUUGACAUCCAGAGAACUUAGCAGAGAUGCUUUGGUGCCUUCGGGAACUCUGAGACAGGUGCUGCAUGGCUGUCGUCAGCUCGUGUUGUGAAAUGUUGGGUUAAGUCCCGCAACGAGCGCAACCCUUAUCCUUUGUUGCCAGCGGUCCGGCCGGGAACUCAAAGGAGACUGCCAGUGAUAAACUGGAGGAAGGUGGGGAUGACGUCAAGUCAUCAUGGCCCUUACGAGUAGGGCUACACACGUGCUACAAUGGCGCAUACAAAGAGAAGCGACCUCGCGAGAGCAAGCGGACCUCAUAAAGUGCGUCGUAGUCCGGAUUGGAGUCUGCAACUCGACUCCAUGAAGUCGGAAUCGCUAGUAAUCGUAGAUCAGAAUGCUACGGUGAAUACGUUCCCGGGCCUUGUACACACCGCCCGUCACACCAUGGGAGUGGGUUGCAAAAGAAGUAGGUAGCUUAACCUUCGGGAGGGCGCUUACCACUUUGUGAUUCAUGACUGGGGUGAAGUCGUAACAAGGUAACCGUAGGGGAACCUGCGGUUGGAUCACCUCCUUA
Molecule: ribosomal RNA, 1540 nt
Filed under: Enterobacter cancerogenus
Lineage: Bacteria; Pseudomonadati; Pseudomonadota; Gammaproteobacteria; Enterobacterales; Enterobacteriaceae
Description: bacterial SSU rRNA
Rfam family: Bacterial small subunit ribosomal RNA
Source: RNAcentral